Molecule: long non-coding RNA, 355 nt
Filed under: Setaria italica (foxtail millet)
Lineage: Eukaryota; Viridiplantae; Streptophyta; Magnoliopsida; Poales; Poaceae
Description: long non-coding RNA (SITA_LNC004066)
Source: RNAcentral
CUGGUCAUCUUCCCUUGGUACUCCGCUACGGCGGCGUAGCUUGCCGCGGCUGCACGCUGCCAGGCCGGCCGGCGCGACGCGGGGCGCGGAUCCUCCUCCCGUUUCACCCCAAGUAACAUGCGCGAGAUUUGGGUCUGCUCCUCAGGACCUCAGCCCAUCCGUCGCAGCGUACGGCAAACGCCAGCCAUGCCGCCGUGGCCCGUGGCCGCAUCCUAUGCCCAGCGCCCCCGUCUGUCGCUUCCGGUUCACAGAAAAACUAGCAGCGUAAGUACAAACCGUGGUGGGAGUGGAGAGGCAGGUGGUCACUCAGGCCAAGGGAGCAUGUGAGGGCAUUAUAGAGUCACGCACAGAUGAG